RNAcentral lists this long non-coding RNA (865 nucleotides) under Monodelphis domestica (gray short-tailed opossum). RNAcentral describes it as "lncRNA (ENSMODG00000040536.1)". Lineage: Eukaryota; Metazoa; Chordata; Mammalia; Didelphimorphia; Didelphidae. The record is from RNAcentral.
UUAUAUUUUAAUACACAAAAGUGUAAACACCCUACUUAAAAAUUAAGUAUGUAGACCUGCCUAUUUCUAGAUUCAGUCACAGAAAGUGCAAACACAGUACUUAAAAGUUAAGUAUGAAGAUCAGCCCUUUUACAUAUAAUCACCAAAUGUGAAAAUAUCCCACUUAAUCAUGAAGUGGGAGGUCUGUGAUCCACGUGUGUGAUAGUGGAUAAUGAAUCAGAAUUGACUAACUGCCUUCUGGGCAGUCCUAGAGCAGAGAGUCAGCUGUGAUUGGUAGACCUAAAAUUAGGGGAAGGCACAGGAAAUGAUGUAAGAGAAAAUACCUUUAAGAGAGAGAGAGUGCUACACAGAGGUUUUUUUGGGUGGGAUUUUUGGAGUGGAGUUCAACUUGGACUUCUACUUCUUCUGGAGUUCAAUUCUUUAUGUUUUGAAUUGAGCCUGGUGAAGAGGAGCAGAAGAAUCUGCUGACUUGACUGACACGGGAUGAGUGAAAGCUGACUUUUAACUGCUGGAUUUUUCUGAAGAGACUUCCCCAGGUCUUGGGCUACAAGGGCUGAGGCCUAUCUGGUUGAGGACUAAACUCUCCUGCCUGGUUUUUGAGCCAGAGUUCUUUCUCUGAGUGUGGAUAGCAUUCUUUCUCAUAAGUUCCUCUGUAUUAUCCUGGAUCAUUGCAUUGACGCUAGUAGAAAAGUCUAUUACAUUUGAUUGUGCCACAGUGUAUCCAUCUCUGUGUAUAAGUGGAGAGUUAGCUGAGAGCUGUGUGCUGAACCUUUUGGCAUCUUAUCAUGGCUACAAGCUAUUGUGCAGUUCGGUGGUGAGUUUCUGGCUGAAUUUUCCUCCUUUACUUUCCAACUUUUUCCUCUCA